Long non-coding RNA from Melanotaenia boesemani (Boeseman's rainbowfish), 669 nucleotides. RefSeq lists it as uncharacterized. NCBI's taxonomy places the organism in Eukaryota, Metazoa, Chordata, Actinopteri, Atheriniformes, Melanotaeniidae. The transcript is spliced from 3 exons. The record is from RefSeq and is a predicted model, not a curated record.
GCAGUGUUUCGCCAAAAAUUGUUUUGUCCUAUGGUCCGUGAAUGCACCGCAGCGCCACACACGGCACUUCACUGAAGCAGAGCGAGAGAAGUUUUUUACACAUGCUCCCGGAGCCGAGCAGGCUAAGCGGCUCUGAUUAACGCGAUUUUGAGGAGAUGUGAAAUGAGUUGGUAGACAACUGCGGGCUUCGAGUGAACUUUUUGUUUUUUUCUUCGAAUAUCCUGGCUGGUUUUUUUGUUGGACUCUCUUCUAAGGACAGAGCUGUGCUGUGCCUGGAUCUGGUAGCAGCCUGAGAUGUCUUCACUGGACGUGUUAAACUUCCAUGGCCACCUCGUCCCAGGAGGGUGGUAGAACCUAGGAGGAUUUCCCUUGGUUUCGUGAGGAUCUACCCCUUUUUUUUUUUGUAUUUUUUUUUAUCUGAGAUCUCAGAAUAUUUUUCUUUGGGGUCAGGCCUGACAAAUAUAAAAUAAACUUGAUGCAUCAAACUAAAACCUAGCUGAACAGUUAACUAGCCUUGAACACUAAAUGUGAAAUACCGAACACAAUGUGCAUUUAACUGGAAAGGACAGUAGUAAAAGUGCACGUGUCAACUUAAAGGUACAGUACUGGAACUUAACAAUGACGGUUGACUGAAGUUAUAACUGAACUAAUUGAACUAUUUGAACCAUU